GGCGGACAAUUUGGACAUGGAAGUCGCGAAAAGCUGAAAGAUUAUAUUAUAAUUGUGAACUAUCAUCAAUGUUUCUCGCUUACAGAAAAAUUUUGAAGAAAGAUCCAUAUCACAAUUCCUGUCUCCCAGUGCACAUUGCCUGUUUAGUUGAGCUUAAAAAAAACUAAUGCUCUGUUUUAUCUGGCACAUAGAUUGGUUGAUUUAUAUCCGGAAAUGGCGUUGGCAUGGUUUGCGGUUGGAUGCUAUUAUUACACCAUAGGUAAGUGAUUACUGU
Monomorium pharaonis (pharaoh ant) is the source of this 274-nucleotide long non-coding RNA. RefSeq lists it as uncharacterized. The transcript is spliced from 3 exons. Lineage: Eukaryota; Metazoa; Arthropoda; Insecta; Hymenoptera; Formicidae. The record is from RefSeq and is a predicted model, not a curated record.